GAUGAACGCUGGCGGCGUGCCUAAUACAUGCAAGUCGAGCGAACGGAUGAGAAGCUUGCUUUUCUGAUGUUAGCGGCGGACGGGUGAGUAACACGUGGAUAACCUACCUAUAAGACUGGGAUAACUUCGGGAAACCGGAGCUAAUACCGGAUAAUAUUUUGAACCGCAUGGUUCAAAAGUGAAAGACGGUCUUGCUGUCACUUAUAGAUGGAUCCGCGCUGCAUUAGCUAGUUGGUAAGGUAACGGCUUACCAAGGCAACGAUGCAUAGCCGACCUGAGAGGGUGAUCGGCCACACUGGAACUGAGACACGGUCCAGACUCCUACGGGAGGCAGCAGUAGGGAAUCUUCCGCAAUGGGCGAAAGCCUGACGGAGCAACGCCGCGUGAGUGAUGAAGGUCUUCGGAUCGUAAAACUCUGUUAUUAGGGAAGAACAUAUGUGUAAGUAACUGUGCACAUCUUGACGGUACCUAAUCAGAAAGCCACGGCUAACUACGUG
RNAcentral lists this ribosomal RNA (497 nucleotides) under uncultured bacterium. RNAcentral describes it as "partial 16S ribosomal RNA". It matches the Rfam family "Bacterial small subunit ribosomal RNA", at positions 28 to 507 of the family's 1533-position model. The record is from RNAcentral.